This 429-nucleotide ribosomal RNA is filed under the name Ischnodactylus sp. UPOL ZL0075. RNAcentral describes it as "partial 16S ribosomal RNA". It matches the Rfam family "Bacterial large subunit ribosomal RNA", at positions 1844 to 2540 of the family's 2925-position model. Lineage: Eukaryota; Metazoa; Arthropoda; Insecta; Coleoptera; Tenebrionidae. The record is from RNAcentral.
UUUAAGGUCGGGCCUGCCCAAUGAAAUUUAAAUGGCCGCAGUAUUUUGACUGUGCAAAGGUAGCAUAAUCAUUAGUUCUUUAAUUGAGAGCUUGUAUGAAAGGUUUGAUGAGAAAUUAACUGUCUCUGUCAAGUUAGUUUAGAAUUUAAUUUUUAAGUCAGAAAGCUUAAAUUUUUUAGAAAGACGAGAAGACCCUAUAGAGUUUUAUUGUUAGGAAUAGGUUUUUGUUUGGGAUAAAUUUUAUGUUUUUAGCAAUUUGGUUGGGGUGAUUGGAAAAUUAGAAAAACUUUUCUUAUUUGUUGAUACUAAUUAGUAUGUGUUUGAUCCUUUAAUUAAGAUUACAAGAAAAAAUUACCUUAGGGAUAACAGCGUAAUUUUUUUUGAAAGUUCUUAUUGAAGAAAAAGUUUGCGACCUCGAUGUUGGAUUAA